This 440-nucleotide ribosomal RNA is filed under the name uncultured bacterium. RNAcentral describes it as "partial 16S ribosomal RNA". It matches the Rfam family "Bacterial small subunit ribosomal RNA", at positions 338 to 795 of the family's 1533-position model. The record is from RNAcentral.
CCUACGGGUGGCUGCAGUAGGGAAUAUUGCUCAAUGGGGGAAACCCUGAAGCAGCAACGCCGCGUGGAGGAUGAAGGUUUUCGGAUUGUAAACUCCUUUUGUUAGAGAAGAUAAUGACGGUAUCUAACGAAUAAGCACCGGCUAACUCCGUGCCAGCAGCCGCGGUAAUACGGAGGGUGCAAGCGUUACUCGGAAUCACUGGGCGUAAAGAGCGCGUAGGCGGGAUAGCAAGUCAGAUGUGAAAUCCUAGGGCUUAACCAUAGAACUGCAUUUGAAACUGUUAUUCUAGAGUAUGGGAGAGGUAGGUGGAAUUCUUGGUGUAGGGGUAAAAUGCGUAGAUAUCAAGAGGAAUACUCAUGGCGAAGGCGACCUGCUAGAACAUAACUGACGCUGAGGCGCGAAAGCGUGGGGAGCAAACAGGAUUAGAUACCCUUGUAGUC